AUUGAACGCUGGCGGCAUGCCUUACACAUGCCAGUCGAACGGUAACGGGCCUUCGGGUGCCGACGAGUGGCGAACGGGUGAGUAAUACAUCGGAACGUGCCCGAUCGUGGGGGAUAACGAGGCGAAAGCUUUGCUAAUACCGCAUACGAUCUACGGAUGAAAGCAGGGGACCGCAAGGCCUUGCGCGGACGGAGCGGCCGAUGGCAGAUUAGGUAGUUGGUGGGAUAAAAGCUUACCGAGCCGACGAUCUGUAGCUGGGCUGAGAGGAUGAUCAGCCACACUGGGACUGAGACACGGCCCAGACUCCUACGGGAGGCAGCAGUGGGGAAUUUUGGACAAUGGGCGCAAGCCUGAUCCAGCCAUGCCGCGUGCAGGAUGAAGGCCUUCGGGUUGUAAACUGCUUUUGUACGGAACGAAAAGCCUUCUUUUAAUACAGGAGGGUCAUGACGGUACCGUAAGAAUAAGCACCGGCUAACUACGUG
RNAcentral lists this ribosomal RNA (482 nucleotides) under uncultured bacterium. RNAcentral describes it as "partial 16S ribosomal RNA". It matches the Rfam family "Bacterial small subunit ribosomal RNA", at positions 30 to 507 of the family's 1533-position model. The record is from RNAcentral.